GUUGUAUGGUUAAGUGACUAAGCGUACACGGUGGAUGCCUUGGCAGUCAGAGGCGAUGAAGGACGUAGUAACUUGCGAUAAGCGUAGAUGAGGCAGUAACAGCCACUUGAGUCUACGAUUUCCGAAUGGGGAAACCCACUGGCAUAAGCCAGUAUCAUUGAGUGAAUACAUAGCUCAAUGAAGCGAACCGGGAGAACUGAAACAUCUAAGUACCCCGAGGAAAAGAAAUCAACCGAGAUUCCGAAAGUAGCGGCGAGCGAAAUUGGAUUAGCCCUUAAGCUUUACAUGUGUUAGACGAACGGUCUGGAAAGUCCGACGAUACAGGGUGAUAGUCCCGUAGUUGACGAUGCAUGUUCAGUGAAAUCGAGUAGGGCGGGACACGUGUUAUCCUGUCUGAAUAUGGGGGGACCAUCCUCCAAGGCUAAAUACUCCUGACUGACCGAUAGUGAACCAGUACCGUGAGGGAAAGGCGAAAAGAACCCCUGUGAGGGGAGUGAAAUAGAACCUGAAACCGUGUACGUACAAGCAGUAGGAGCACCUUCGUGGUGUGACUGCGUACCUUUUGUAUAAUGGGUCAGCGACUUAUAUUCAGUGGCAAGGUUAACCAUCUAGGGGAGCCGUAGGGAAACCGAGUCUUAACUGGGCGUCAUAGUCUCUGGAUAUAGACCCGAAACCGAGUGAUCUAGCCAUGGGCAGGUUGAAGGUUGAGUAACAUCAACUGGAGGACCGAACCGACUAAUGUUGAAAAAUUAGCGGAUGACUUGUGGCUAGGGG
RNAcentral lists this ribosomal RNA (774 nucleotides) under Vibrio vulnificus. RNAcentral describes it as "partial 23S ribosomal RNA". It matches the Rfam family "Bacterial large subunit ribosomal RNA", at positions 1 to 821 of the family's 2925-position model. Lineage: Bacteria; Pseudomonadati; Pseudomonadota; Gammaproteobacteria; Vibrionales; Vibrionaceae. The record is from RNAcentral.